Molecule: ribosomal RNA, 239 nt
Filed under: uncultured bacterium
Lineage: Bacteria
Description: partial 16S ribosomal RNA
Rfam family: Bacterial small subunit ribosomal RNA
Source: RNAcentral
AAUCAUGGCUCAGGAUGAACGCUGGCGGCGUGCCUAACACAUGCAAGUCGAGCGAAGCGUUUUGAAGGAAGUUUUCGGAUGGAAUUUGAAAUGACUGAGCGGCGGACGGGUGAGUAACGCGUGGGUAACCUGCCUCAUACAGGGGGAUAACAGUUAGAAAUGACUGCUAAUACCGCAUAAGCACACAGUACCGCAUGGUACAGUGUGAAAAACUCCGGUGGUAUGAGAUGGACCCGCGU